Molecule: ribosomal RNA, 460 nt
Filed under: uncultured bacterium
Lineage: Bacteria
Description: partial 16S ribosomal RNA
Rfam family: Bacterial small subunit ribosomal RNA
Source: RNAcentral
CCUACGGGUGGCUGCAGUGAGGAAUAUUGGUCAAUGGACGAGAGUCUGAACCAGCCAAGUAGCGUGAAGGAUGACUGCCCUAUGGGUUGUAAACUUCUUUUAUAUGGGAAUAAAAUGUUACACGUGUGGGAUUUUGUAUGUACCAUAUGAAUAAGGAUCGGCUAACUCCGUGACAGCAGCCGCGGUAAUACGGAGGAUCCGAGCGUUAUCCGGAUUUAUUGGGUGUAAAGUGAGCGUAGGUUGAUUGUUAAGUCAGUUGUGAAAGUUUGCGGCUCAACCGUAAAAUUGCAGUUGACACUGGCAGUCUUGAGUACAGGAGAGGUGAGCGGAAUUCGUGGUGUAGCAGUGAAAUGCUUAGAUAUCGCGAAGAACUCCGGUUGCGAAGGCAGCUCACUGGACUGCAACUGACACUGAGGCUCGAAAGUGUGGGUAUCAAACGGGAUUAGAUACCCGGGUAGUC